Molecule: transfer RNA, 70 nt
Filed under: Cavia porcellus (domestic guinea pig)
Lineage: Eukaryota; Metazoa; Chordata; Mammalia; Rodentia; Caviidae
Rfam family: tRNA
About the family: Transfer RNA (tRNA) molecules are approximately 80 nucleotides in length. Their secondary structure includes four short double-helical elements and three loops (D, anti-codon, and T loops).
Source: Rfam by way of RNAcentral
GGGGAUGUGGCUCAGUGGUAGUUAUUGCCUUGUAUGCACAAGGCCCUGGGUUCAAUCCCCAGCACCACCA